Molecule: long non-coding RNA, 990 nt
Organism: Patella vulgata (common limpet)
Lineage: Eukaryota; Metazoa; Mollusca; Gastropoda; Patellidae
Exons: 3
Source: RefSeq, a predicted model, not a curated record
GUACCCUGUCAACAAUUUUAAAAAAAAACAACAUCCAAACCUCAAAACACAGCGAUAAGCCUCUUAUCACGUGAUCAAAUUCUCGUACUAUUUUCAGCAAUAACGGACAUACAGAGAAGAGGGAUUUUGACGAGCAAAGGAUUUCUAUUUCAAGAAAACAACUUAUUCGGACCGCCUGCAAAUGAAGUUCCCUGGAAUGAAAGGCUGGUUAUUGACAGUAUUGUUGAUUUGUAUAGGAUGGUCCUAUAUCGUCACGGCAGCUAGCGAUGUUUCCAAUGGCGCAGAAGCCGAGCCCCCAACACCGGAAGCGGAACAGAACAAUGGCACUCAAGCUCCAGUUGUCGAACCGUCCCCAGAGCCAGAGUCCACGGGUAGCCCUGAUGGAGGCGCCGGCUCUCUUCUUCCCGUCAGUUUAUUAUUAGUUAUCUCUAUAGCUACACUCAUCCAACUGCUUCUGUAAAUUAAUGUAAGGUUGAAUUAGCUUUCGUCCAGUUGAUCGCUCACACACAUGGUCCAAAAAUUAUCUUGUCUAACCUCUCGGCAUCUUUUAGAUAAAUAUUUUAUCUUCUUUGCAGAAGUGUUCAUAUUGUAAAAGCUCAUUUUUUAUGCAUUUAAAAUAAUACUAUUUACUAAUUAAAAACAUCCCACGCUUGGCCACAUAAAAUGAUUCAUGGCACUUAAUGUUUUGUAUUGUAAGUACGAGUAUAUCAAUUUGAUGUGUAUGUGCCUUCAACGCCAUCUUUGUAGAGGAAAUAAAAACCCAGUAGUUUGCUCAAAGCAUCGGAUUCAGUGUUGUAGGAAUUGUAGCUCUAUGUAUAGAUUAUAUCAUAUCUAUCAUUAUUUGAAUUGUUUCCUGUAUUGUAAUUUUAUUCCAAAUUAAUUAUUUAAUUUAUUCAUCUAAUAGAAUCUCAAUAUUUUUUUCCGCCUUUUAUUUAUUUGUAGGUGUAAUGUUUUCUUUUUUAUAAAAUAAACUGAUUUAAACAUCAUAAA